Molecule: long non-coding RNA, 347 nt
Filed under: Gossypium raimondii (Peruvian cotton)
Lineage: Eukaryota; Viridiplantae; Streptophyta; Magnoliopsida; Malvales; Malvaceae
Description: long non-coding RNA (GRAI_LNC002877)
Source: RNAcentral
GCAGACGAGGUCAUUUCAUUGCCUAUUUCCCCAACUCAUAACUGGCGAUCUUAUUCACUGCCUUAGACACCAAUGCGUUCUCUACAACCCUAGUUUUCAAUGGUACUGGCUUGAUUCUACCUCACUCCAAAUUUUUGCUUUACCUUAACCAGCUCGAUCUUCACCAUUCUAACUUUAUGGAUAAACCAUCUGAGUGGUCACCCUACCGUCGAGGUAGCUUCGUACUAUGCCAUCUAGCCCUAGCUAACUAUUCAUCUUACUCUGAUUCUUUAAAUGACUCAUAAUACAGAUGGAUCCCUAUUAAACCAAACUCUUAUUGUUGGUUUUCGAUAAAUUUUCCAUCCAAU